This 119-nucleotide ribosomal RNA is filed under the name Helianthus annuus (common sunflower). The record is from RNAcentral. Lineage: Eukaryota; Viridiplantae; Streptophyta; Magnoliopsida; Asterales; Asteraceae.
GGUUGCGAUCAUACCAGCACUAAUGCACCGGAUACCAUCAGAACUCCGCAGUUAAGCGUGCUUUGGCGAGAGUAGUACUAGGAUGGGUGACCCCCUGGGAAGUCCUCGUGUUGCAACCC